AUCCCGAGGAAGCUGGUGCAUGCGACGCGAUGGGGGACUGAUGAACUCAUCUUUUGAGUACUUUUUUUAAAGCUGGUGGAUUGGAGCGACAGGAGGACUAUCCUUCCACUGGGAGGUAUCGUCGCCCUUGCAAAUUCCAAAGCGGCAUAAUCGCUGCCUCGGUAGCCAACUUCAGUGUCAUCUCUAAAGAUGCCGACCAAAGUGCAGCAAACUUGAUCAAGAAUGGCCCUUCAGCAAUUUUCUACUUUAUCUUAGACCGCUGCUGUUGGAGUCGAUGCAAUUUUCCUGCAGACCUACGUAAGAGGAAUUUCAUGCGUGGGUGAAAACUGGGGAGAAAAUGGCUACUACUUAAUCUGCAAGGGCAACAAUAUCUGUGGAUCUGAGUCGAUGGUCUCGUCUGUGGCUGCUACCCCAAACUAAGCCAUUGUUAGUGCCAUUAUAUUAAGGUAACAUGCUCGGACUCUGUAAGUAUGUUUAUAUUAUGGGAAAUGGGUUGUUACAUCAAAUGCUAUGAAACUUGUUCAUUCUCUUGGCCAAUAGUUAUUGCUAGUUAUUGUUGUAUAAUAUGUAUGUUGCUCUGUGGUCAAUUAUCAAUUGAUCAUGAGCCUCUGGAAGCAAGUAUGUUGAUUGAGUUGGGUCUUUUAGAUUUGGGUUUUUCGUCUUUAUUUUUAUUUCCUUUCCAGUUUUUGAGUGGACCUUACCCUACGCUCCUGCCAAUUCUCUUGGCGAAAGUUGUCCUAAUGCCAUGGGCAGGGGGAGACCUUUUGGCUAAUGGACUGUUAGUUGAAAGUCUUAUUCCUUUUCUAAUCCCCUCGAGAUUCCGAAUACUCUAGAAAAAAGAAAAAGAAGUUGGGGUGGGACAAUGAGGUAGAAUGAGAGCUUAAAAAAGCUUGAAUGCUCAGUCAAUUAUGGGAGGAAAGAAAAAAAAACUUCAAGAGAAGCUGAGAACUAUGUGGUCUAAUGUUGAAAAUCGUCUCUUUGAUCGUGAGAGGGUUGAGGAGAGGGAGGAGACUUAAAGGGAGAUUGGUUAAGGAAGUUGUUUCUCAAGAGAACUCGAAUAUUGUUAUUUGGAUGGAGACUGAACAUAGUCUGUUUUGUUGUCAAUUCCUUUGAAAGUACAUGGGAGAAAAGGUGAGUGGAGUUGGAGAGAAUUGACUUUGAAGGGAAAUCAUGGGGGUAUUUAUUCCGUAGAAUAGCGGUUCUUUGUUUGCUAGUGAAGUGGAAAAAUGAAUUUUUUUUUUUUUUGUUAUGAUUUCUUUUUUCUUUCUUUCUUUUUUUUUUUUUUUUGGAAAAAGAAGGGUUUUGGGCACAAACGGAGGAUGUGGAUGUGAAAUUGUAUGAGAAACGUGAGUUAUUCUUUCCUUGUUAAUGGUAGUUAUAG
Cucurbita moschata (crookneck pumpkin) is the source of this 1381-nucleotide long non-coding RNA. RefSeq lists it as uncharacterized. Lineage: Eukaryota; Viridiplantae; Streptophyta; Magnoliopsida; Cucurbitales; Cucurbitaceae. The record is from RefSeq and is a predicted model, not a curated record. The transcript has 2 exons.